This 407-nucleotide ribosomal RNA is filed under the name uncultured bacterium. RNAcentral describes it as "partial 16S ribosomal RNA". It matches the Rfam family "Bacterial small subunit ribosomal RNA", at positions 30 to 526 of the family's 1533-position model. The record is from RNAcentral.
AUUGAACGCUGGCGGCAGGCCUAACACAUGCAAGUCGAGCGGAGCGGCGGCCGGGUGAGUAAUGCCUAGGAAUCUGCCUGGUCGUGGGGGAUAACGUCCGGAAACGGGCGCUAAUACCGCAUACUAUCAGAUGAGCCUAGGUCGGAUUAGCUAGUUGGUGGGGUAAAGGCCUACCAAGGCGACGAUCCGUAACUGGUCUGAGAGGAUGAUCAGUCACACUGGAACUGGGACACGCUCCAGACUCCUCCGGGAGGCAGCAGUGGGGAGUCAUGGAUGAUUGACGAAAGCCUUGUCUGGCCAUGCCGCCUGAGUGAAGAAGGUCUUCGGAAUGUAAAGCUCUUUAAGUUGGGAGGCGUUACCAGCAGAAUAAGCACCGGCGAACUUCGUGCCAGCCGCCGCGGUAAUAC